GUGGAUUCUAGGCCAUCAGAGGCUACAUAGUAAGAGAAAUUGGAAUGAUACAGAGAAGAUUGGCAUGACCCUAGACAAGGGUAGCAUGAAUAUUUACAAAGCACUCUAAAUUUAA
Mesocricetus auratus (golden hamster) is the source of this 115-nucleotide small nuclear RNA. The record is from Ensembl. NCBI's taxonomy places the organism in Eukaryota, Metazoa, Chordata, Mammalia, Rodentia, Cricetidae.